ACAUUGAAAUGAAUCGAAACAGGGAAGGAAAAAUUGGUCAACUAUCCAUUGUGCUAGAUGCCAAUACUAUAAUCGUGAAAGAUGGCCGAGUGUUUGUCAACCAAAAAUAUGUGCAGGUGCCAUUUGACAAUAAAAUGAUCCGUAUUAAGAAAUAUGGGGACUAUACCAAGCUGGAAAGCCGCAGAGGUAUUCUGACAUUAGUAUGGAACAAUGAAGAUAAAUUAUCAGUAAGUCCAUCCAUUUGCUUUCUAAUAGAUGCUGAAUUGCACAGUGAAG
Molecule: long non-coding RNA, 276 nt
Filed under: Pogona vitticeps (central bearded dragon)
Lineage: Eukaryota; Metazoa; Chordata; Lepidosauria; Squamata; Agamidae
Description: lncRNA (ENSPVIG00000008338.1)
Source: RNAcentral